RNAcentral lists this ribosomal RNA (253 nucleotides) under uncultured bacterium. RNAcentral describes it as "partial 16S ribosomal RNA". It matches the Rfam family "Bacterial small subunit ribosomal RNA", at positions 524 to 776 of the family's 1533-position model. The record is from RNAcentral.
UACGUAGGGACCAAGCGUUGUUCGGAUUUACUGGGCGUAAAGGGCGCGUAGGCGGCAAUUCAAGUCAUCUGUGAAAUCUCCGGGCUUAACUCGGAACGGUCAGAUGAUACUGCUUUGCUAGAGUGCAGAAGGGGCAGUCGGAAUUCUUGGUGUAGCGGUGAAAUGCGUAGAUAUCAAGAGGAACACCUGAGGUGAAGACGGGUUGCUGGACCGUAACUGACGCUGAGACACGAAAGCGUGGGUAGCAAACAGG